CAAAUGACUCUCGGCAACGGAUAUCUUGGCUCACGCAUCGAUGAAGAACGUAGCAAAAUGCGAUACUUGGUGUGAAUUGCAGAAUCCCGUGAACCAUCGAGUUUUUGAACGCAAGUUGCGCCCAAAGCCUUUCGGUCUAGGGCACGUCUGCCUGGGCGUCACAC
RNAcentral lists this ribosomal RNA (164 nucleotides) under Senecio szyszylowiczii. RNAcentral's name for it is "5.8S ribosomal RNA". It matches the Rfam family "5.8S ribosomal RNA". Rfam says of the family: 5.8S ribosomal RNA (5.8S rRNA) is a component of the large subunit of the eukaryotic ribosome. It is transcribed by RNA polymerase I as part of the 45S precursor that also contains 18S and 28S rRNA. Functionally, it is thought that 5.8S rRNA may be involved in ribosome translocation. Lineage: Eukaryota; Viridiplantae; Streptophyta; Magnoliopsida; Asterales; Asteraceae. The record is from RNAcentral.